GACGAACGCUGGCGGCGUGCUUAACACAUGCAAGUCGAACGGUGAAGGGACUGGUUUUGCUGGUCCUGGAUGAGUGGCGAACGGGUGAGUAACACGUGAGUAACCUGCCCCCUUCUUCUGGAUAACCGCAUGAAAGUGUGGCUAAUACGGGAUAUUCUGGGUCUGUCGCAUGGUGGGCCUGGGAAAGAUUGCGCCUUUUUUGGUGUUUUUGUUGGGGGAUGGGCUCGCGGCCUAUCAGCUUGUUGGUGGGGUGAUGGCCUACCAAGGCGGUGACGGGUAGCCGGCCUGAGAGGGUGGACGGUCACACUGGGACUGAGACACGGCCCAGACUCCUACGGGAGGCAGCAGUGGGGAAUAUUGCACAAUGGGCGAAAGCCUGAUGCAGCGACGCCGCGUGAGGGAUGGAGGCCUUCGGGUUGUGAACCUCUUUCGCCAGUGAAGCAGGCCUGCCUCUUUUUGUGGGUGGGUUGACGGUAGCUGGAUAAGAAGCGCCGGCUAACUACGUG
This 506-nucleotide ribosomal RNA is filed under the name uncultured bacterium. Its description in RNAcentral is "partial 16S ribosomal RNA". It matches the Rfam family "Bacterial small subunit ribosomal RNA", at positions 28 to 507 of the family's 1533-position model. The record is from RNAcentral.